Non-coding RNA from Pimephales promelas (fathead minnow), 2079 nucleotides. The record is from RefSeq and is a predicted model, not a curated record. NCBI's taxonomy places the organism in Eukaryota, Metazoa, Chordata, Actinopteri, Cypriniformes, Leuciscidae.
UUUCUCUCUCUCUCUUUCUUUCAUGCAGAGGCCAGUGCUAAGACGAGGGAUGGUGUUCAAUGUGCAUUUGAGGAGCUGGUGGAGAAAAUCCUGCAGACUCCUGGCUUGUGGGAGAGCGUGCACAAGACAAGAGGAGUUGCCCUGUCUGAACUCUCUCAAACGUCUCAAGGAGGCUGUGGGGGAUAUUGCUCACUUCUCUAACCCACAAACUGAUGUCUAAAUAGUGCAGGGAUGACAUUUAUUUAAAGAACUCUAUUGAUGGCAUGCUCAUCGUUUGUAUCCAGGAGGGGGAUAAAAAAGCUUGAUUACUCCAUUAUACCUCAGAUCAGUUUGCUUUUUGGUUUGUAUAUUUUUCGUAAUGUUUUACUUUGUUUUGUCCCAGUGCCUGUGUUUCUUAUUUAGUGAGAGGUAAACACUCAUCAGUCUAACUCGACCUUUCAAACUGCUGGAAUGAGACCUCAGUAGAACACAGAUUUCCAUCAGCAUCUCCUUGAUGUCUGCAACAUGCGGAACACCAUUCUGUCUUUAUCUGUCUAUCUUUGCAUCCCACUUUUUCCUACUGUCAGUCACUUGUUAACUCUCUUUCCUCUCUCUUGGUACACGUAUCUGUCUUCAAUUCAGUUCUAUCUCUGUUUCUCCACGUCCCUCGAUCUAUAUAGAAUAAUAGAGUUACCAAGGUUUUGGAUCUGUAUUUUACUACUUUUAUUGAUUUGGACUGCCCACUUAAAAAUGUGUUUUUGAAGGGUUUAUUAAUCAAAGAGAUUGGCAGAAUAAAUCUCUAUUACACACAUAAAAAUAGGGUUAAAAAUAACUAGAAUAGUGAAGAAUCGAUGGACAGUGUAACACUUACUGUCCUGACAUGUCUGUCCAUCUCAGAGAAAGGAAAAAAAAAUGUUUAAAAAUCCUUUGAGUGAGUCAUUGGGGUGUGACUAUAGAUGGCUGGUUUUCACAUACACGCAAAUGGAACAAAAGAACAAAUUUAGAAAUAAUAAAUGUUCCCCCAAAAAAUGUAUGACGAUUAAUAAUAGCGAUGCCAAAUGAAUAUUUCCAUUCUCCUGGUUUAAUCUGGACUAUGGACUAUUCGAUCUGGACUAUUUAGUCUGUUCUGUUUGUUUUAGAGAAACAUCCAGGGGGUCCCAGAUGUCUAGUCUUGUAUUCAUUGCUUAAAAACUGGGUGGUAAAGUCCUCUGUUUCAGAAAGUGUGUGGCACACGUGGAAGGAAACGCUGGGUUUGUAUGUACUAAUUUUGAGCAUUUAUGCAUUCCUUUUUAUUUGUUUUUAAAAAUGUGCUGAUUAUUAGACUAUUAUAUAUGUAUUGUAUGGUUUCCAUAUGCAUGAAAUUAUGUCUUCUGUCUUUAAGGGCAGUUAUAUGUAAUAGUGUAUUUUUUUUUUAACCUUUCACUACAUCCUCCCAUAUGAGUUAAUUAUUGAUUCGAGGACUUUAAUUUUGAAUUAAUCACAUUUCUCUGUUUUAUAGAUAUUUGUAUGUAAGUUAUUGCUAUUCAGCACUAAAUCCAAAAAGCAUAAUACACAAGAAUGCAUUUACACAAUAUUGCAUACUGUUAUUGCACAUGAAUUGCUGUAUGUAAAUAUUUGCAAGAAAUGCUCUUAAAUACAUUGUAAUGUUGAUGUUGAUGACUCUCCUCUCUAUAAUGCUGAACUUGAAAUGACAAUAUUUUGUCUGUGAAUAUUCUUCCCUCUCUCUCUUUCUCUCUUUCUCUCAUACCUUUUCCAGCAGUGAGUUCUUGUUAAAUAUGACCCACCACAGGAAUGUAUCUCCAAGCCUCUGUGAUUUCACCGUUUCCCGUUACAUUUCUGUGUGAACACUGUAGUGACUGAAGUGUUUGCUUAUUCACAUGUUCAGACGGCAUCUUCAUAUGGUUUCUGCACCCGUCCGAUGUGAUGAAGCCAAAUUAUUGUAUUUGGACAGAGAGGUAGGUCCGGUAACCAUAGUGAUUACAGGUUUUUCACUGUGGAUAUGUCUUCAGAGCUGUUUGACUGAGAGGUGUGUAAUUCUUAGUUGAAAAAUGAAGGCAUAGCUGGAAAAUCUUCUUGGAUUAAAUUCAAAUUUUGAAGAAA